CUUGACAUCCAGAGAACUUUCCAGAGAUGGAUUGGUGCCUUCGGGAACUCUGAGACAGGUGCUGCAUGGCUGUCGUCAGCUCGUGUUGUGAAAUGUUGGGUUAAGUCCGCAACGAGCGCAACCCCUAUCCUUUGUUGCCAGCGAUUCGGUCGGGAACUCAAAGGAGACUGCCGGUGAUAAACCGGAGGAAGGUGGGGAUGACGUCAAGUCAUCAUGGCCCUUACGAGUAGGGCUACACACGUGCUACAAUGGCGUAUACAAAGAGAAGCAACCUCGCGAGAGCAAGCGGACCUCAUAAAGUACGUCGUAGUCCGGAUUGGAGUCUGCAACUCGACUCCAUGAAGUCGGAAUCGCUAGUAAUCGUAGAUCAGAAUGCUACGGUGAAUACGUUCCCGGGCCUUGUACACACCGCCCGUCACACCAUGGGAGUGGGUUGCAAAAGAAGUAGAUAGCUUAACCUUCGGGAGGGCGUUUACCACUUUGUGAUUCAUGACUGGGGUGAAGUCGUAACAAGGUAAGCGUAGCGAG
This 528-nucleotide ribosomal RNA is filed under the name uncultured bacterium. RNAcentral describes it as "bacterial SSU rRNA". It matches the Rfam family "Bacterial small subunit ribosomal RNA", at positions 980 to 1509 of the family's 1533-position model. The record is from RNAcentral.